GAGUGGCGAACGGGUGAGUAAUGCAUCGGAACGUGCCAUUGAGUGGGGGAUAACGUAGCGAAAGUUGCGCUAAUACCGCAUAUUCUGUGAGCAGGAAAGCAGGGGACCGCAAGGCCUUGCGCUCUUUGAGCGGCCGAUGUCAGAUUAGCUAGUUGGUGAGGUAAAGGCUUACCAAGGCGACGAUCUGUAGCGGGUCUGAGAGGAUGAUCCGCCACACUGGAACUGAGACACGGUCCAGACUCCUACGGGAGGCAGCAGUGGGGAAUUUUGGACAAUGGGGGCAACCCUGAUCCAGCCAUGCCGCGUGAGUGAAGAAGGCCUUCGGGUUGUAAAGCUCUUUCGGCCGGGAAGAAAUCGCAUGGGCCAAUACCCUGUGUGGAUGACGGUACCGGAAUAAGAAGCACCGGCUAACUACGUGCCAGCAGCCGCGGUAAUACGUAGGGUGCGAGCGUUAAUCGGAAUUACUGGGCGUAAAGCGUGCGCAGGCGGUUUUGUAAGACAGGCGUGAAAUCCCCGGGCUUAACCUGGGAACUGCGUUUGUGACUGCAAGGCUAGAGUACGGCAGAGGGGGGUGGAAUUCCACGUGUAGCAGUGAAAUGCGUAGAGAUGUGGAGGAACACCAAUGGCGAAGGCAGCCCCCUGGGUCGAUACUGACGCUCAUGCACGAAAGCGUGGGUAGCAAACAGGAUUAGAUACCCCGGUAGUCCACGCCCUAAACUAUGUCAACUAGGUGUUGGGUGGGUAAAACCAUUUAGUACCGUAGCUAACGCGUGAAGUUGACCGCCUGGGGAGUACGGCCGCAAGGCUAAAACUCAAAGGAAUUGACGGGGACCCGCACAAGCGGUGGAUGAUGUGGAUUAAUUCGAUGCAACGCGAAAAACCUUACCUACCCUUGACAUGCCAGGAACUUGCCAGAGAUGGCUUGGUCCCGAAAGGGAGCCUGGACACAGGUGCUGCAUGGCUGUCGUCAGCUCGUGUCGUGAGAUGUUGGGUUAAGUCCCGCAACGAGCGCAACCCUUGUCGUUAAUUGCCAUCAUUUAGUUGGGCACUUUAACGAGACUGCCGGUGACAAACCGGAGGAAGGUGGGGAUGACGUCAAGUCCUCAUGGCCCUUAUGGGUAGGGCUUCACACGUCAUACAAUGGUCGGUACAAAGGGUUGCCAAGCCGCGAGGCGGAGCCAAUCCCAGAAAGCCGAUCGUAGUCCGGAUUGCAGGCUGCAACUCGCCUGCAUGAAGUCGGAAUCGCUAGUAAUCGUGGAUCAGCAUGUCACGGUGAAUACGUUCCCGGGUCUUGUACACACCGCCCGUCACACCAUGGGAGCGGGUUCCGCCAGAAGUAGGUAGCCUAACCGCAAGGGGGGCGCUUACCACGGCGGGGUUCGUGGCUGGGGUGAAGUCGGAACAAGGUA
This 1409-nucleotide ribosomal RNA is filed under the name metagenome. RNAcentral's name for it is "bacterial SSU rRNA". It matches the Rfam family "Bacterial small subunit ribosomal RNA". The record is from RNAcentral.